GCGCCUGUAGCUCAGUCGGAUAGAGCAACGGCCUUCUAAGCCGUGGGUCGCGGGUUCGAAUCCUGCCGGGCGCGCCA
Molecule: transfer RNA, 77 nt
Filed under: Aminobacterium colombiense
Lineage: Bacteria; Thermotogati; Synergistota; Synergistia; Synergistales; Aminobacteriaceae
Also listed under: 1 other name
Description: tRNA-Arg
Rfam family: tRNA
About the family: Transfer RNA (tRNA) molecules are approximately 80 nucleotides in length. Their secondary structure includes four short double-helical elements and three loops (D, anti-codon, and T loops). Further hydrogen bonds mediate the characteristic L-shaped molecular structure. tRNAs have two regions of fundamental functional importance: the anti-codon, which is responsible for specific mRNA codon recognition, and the 3' end, to which the tRNAs corresponding amino acid is attached (by aminoacyl-tRNA synthetases). tRNAs cope with the degeneracy of the genetic code in two manners: having more than one tRNA (with a specific anti-codon) for a particular amino acid; and 'wobble' base-pairing, i.e. permitting non-standard base-pairing at the 3rd anti-codon position.
Source: RNAcentral